Molecule: non-coding RNA, 2355 nt
Organism: Meleagris gallopavo (turkey)
Lineage: Eukaryota; Metazoa; Chordata; Aves; Galliformes; Phasianidae
Source: RefSeq, a predicted model, not a curated record
AGUGUGCUGGUAUAAAAGCAAUAUAAAAUCUGACAGAUGAACUGUUUGAAUUGUUUUUUGUUUUUACAGCCAGCCAGCUGAUUGCUCAGGAUGUAGGGACGGAUGAUGAUCCAAGUCAGUGCUCCAGAGCAAAACCUAAUAAUAUCAAGGAAAUUACUUCAUGUGAUGCAGCUGAAGUCUCCGAAGAAGUUGUUGUAACACAUACACCUCCUGCAAGUGCUGUGGAAGGAAAAGAUGAAUUUACCACUGAGCAGGAAAUAUUUGAUAAGACGAAGCAGAGUCUAGAAUCAAAUGAAAAUUCUGUAGAGGAUAAUCAACCUGUGAUAGUAAAACGGAAGAGAGGAAGGCCUCGUAAACAUCCUGUUGAAGAUGUACAGCCUGGUGGUGGUGGUGGGGAGUCAAAAGCUGAUAUGAGCACUGGCAAUCUGCAAUUUCCUACCUCUGCAAGUAGAGGGAAAAGUCCUCAAAGAGGUAAGCAAACCAUGGGAGAAGUCCAAGGGGAUGUUCUAGAAUAUCAGAUGAGUCCUUCUUAAAUAUUGUGUUUUAAAAUACAUAUUCAGAAAGAAAUCUAAUUAUUCAGUUAAUUACAUUAUCUGUGGAUAUGAAUUCAAAGAGGUAAGUGGCAGCUUGAGGGGAUAUUUCUUUCCCCUAUCACAACUUCUAUAAAAUCUUUAAGAUGAUUGCUUAGCGUCCAUUGGAAAUACUUUUAUUGUUACAAGCUGAAGUCACACUAAAAGAGAUUUUUAUAUUUCCCUUUUUCAUUCAGACACCUGUCAUUUGUAAGAAGUAAAAUUAUGAUGAAUUUUAAGCAGUGUAGUUAAUUACAGAUAAGUAAUCUGUACUGCAUUAGUUGUUUAGAUCCAUUUUAGUAAAAGCCAUUCAUAAAUAUAUUUUAAUAUAGACUCAGGAAGCUGAAAGGAAGUUGAAAAACGGCUUAUAAACAAAUACAAACAUUCAUGCCCUUUUAACUUGAAGUUGUUCUGCAUAUGGCUUUACAGUAGAUGCAUUCACACACAUAAUGGGAAGUGAAGUUUUCAGUCAGUGCAAUCAAACAGUUGGAAACAACUGGUUUCUAGAGGCAGCAUCCUACCUUAACAGUUCUCUUAUGUAAUUAGUAGUGGAAAGUAGGAUUAGUAGUAGGACUUCUGUGGAGAACUCUUCCUGUGUAAUUAGAAACAACUGACAGUAGGCUUGAAACCAAAAUUAUCCUUGCACUAUUUGCUGCUGAAAAGUUGAUAUGGCUUUUGUUAUUAUUAUUGCUAAUUGUUUUUAUACUUGAGCUAAAAGUACAACCUUUUCACUUAUUAGGAGAAAAUUGGGUCUGUUAAGAAAGGCGUGGCUUGUAGUUAAAUUGUCUUCUAUCACAGGGUAUUUGGUUAUGCAUUUGCCAACACUUACCAGGAUUUUAAAUACUUGCCUGCAGUACAUCAAAGAAUUAAUAAAUCUUUUUAAUAUGUUAAUUAGACUUAUAUUGUGUAAAACACUUAGUACAGUGUGCUGUUCUUCAUUUUAUUGUGCUUCUUCAUCAAAUAGUUGCAUGCUUGUACUUUAUUUCAUUUGUUCCUGUAUAGAAGAUUUUUCCCGUAAUUUGGACAACACAACUUCAGAGGACCUGUGUGUGUUUAAGAAUGUACCUCUGAUUUGAGACCUCUGUGUUGGUACAGCAAAUUGACAUUCUUCUGUAUUUGCUCUCUUGGUCUAAACAGUGAUGAAUGUAGAGUUUUUGGCCUUAUUUUUAGCUUUUAGAAACAAAAAUAGACAGCAAUUUUGUGGCAUAAAAAAAUGUUUAAAGAGAUGGUAUAAAAACCUCCAUGUUGUUUAGGAUGCUUCUCUCCUUCAGUGACUGGGGAUUUUUAUCAUUGCGAUAUUGCAGAUAACUCUAUUUGACAAACUUCAAACUUUAAAAAAUCAUCUUUCUUACCAUGGAGGCCAGCUUGGGACAACGUGCUUCAUAGAGUUCAUAAAAUUAUUUUGGUGUGCACAAGCCAGUCUGUAAGAACCACUGGAUUGAAAAACCAGGCUUCUUCAACAGAGAAGGUUAACUAAUUUGUAUGCCAGGUACUAGUCAGGAUUUAAAUGCUCCCUUGUUGAGCUACAGCUGUCUUGGUGCUUCACAGUAGAUAUAGUAAAGCAUUAGCCCAGAGGAGCUUUAUAUUCUGGUUUUAGAGACUUUUCAGAACUGCAUUGAACAAGAUCUUGAGCAGUAAGAUCACAUUUUGAGUUUAGCUGUACAUUGAGCAAGACUGGUCUAGAUGACCUCCAGAGACACCUUCCAAGCUAAAUCCUUCUUGAUUCUGCUGUUGGUUGACAGUAAAUAAAAUAGAUAUCUAACUUCUGCUUUUCCACUUAAAAAAA